This is a non-coding RNA of Heterocephalus glaber (naked mole-rat), 1277 nucleotides long. Lineage: Eukaryota; Metazoa; Chordata; Mammalia; Rodentia; Bathyergidae. The record is from RefSeq and is a predicted model, not a curated record.
UGCUAGCUGGACAAGCCCUAGAAUGCUAUAAGCCAACCUUGAUAGGUGAUUCUGGUCACAGUUCAGAAUCUUGAAAGAAAUACAGACUGUAAACAUCAGUCUCAAGACGUUUCAGUUGGGAACAAGGACUCUAUUGACAGUUGGGGACUACAAGCCAUGUGCAUUACACUCUGGCAUAAAAUUUGUCUACAUUUUCCCCAUGUCUUGAGACUUUGUGGAGACUGAGAUUAAGGGUGGCUGAUUAAUUAAUCAGUCAAGAGGAAUUUCAAAGCACACCAAAGUUCAGGCUAUGAUAUAAGUGCUACUGGCUGCAUUUAGUCAGCUCUACAGUGAGAAUCAAGAGCAAAAGGUAAAGUUCAAUGUUGGAAAAGUCUAGAGCAUAAUACUCAUCAGUGGAUUCUGUAGCUCAAUGUGCUAUUAGGAGGUGGAGCCUGGAUAGAGGUGCUUCACUGGGAUGAGAGCUGGAAGGGUGUAUUCUUUCCUUAUCUCCUCCCCUCUCUCUGCUUUUUGGCUGCUAUGCAUUGAACACGUUUUCUUCUGUCAUCCUGUUUCUGCCCUGGAGCUAAUCGACCAUGGAUUGAAACUAGUGAAUUGAAAGCUACUAAGGGAAAGGAGACCAGCCAAUAUUAAACUAGAGAAUGAGGAAAGAAAAGAGAAGUAGAUCAUUCAAAAAUCAGAAAAAGAAGCUGAUGAACUUUGAUGACAACUAUAGGGUGCUGAGUAACUGAAUGAGUAAACGAAGGCUGUGCGAAUGCAUGAACUUUAUAAAGUGUCAGUCUGCAAGGGCUUCCCAGAAAUGUACAUGAUUUCUGCCACACCCAUAUUCUUGCAAACUGUGGUUAGAGCUGACAGUGGACAAGGCCAGCAUCGCACAUUGGUGGAGAAGUCUCCUGCUAAUGCAGGUGGUGAGAAUUAGCCCAAUUCAGUACAAUGUCACAUGAAAAUCUGCUUUUACAACUUUGGGAGGAGGUUGAAAGGGGUCAUCAAGUGACUCGGCUACCAAUGAUGACUUGGAUCAUGUAAGCCAAAGAAGAUAGUAUGAUAUGACAGAUAGAGAAGCACAGAAUGAAGACCUUGAUUUUGAUGAGGAAGAAAAUGAGGAGGAAAUUUGAACAUGCAGAGAGAUAGCAAGGCCCAUGAACACAGAGGGAUGACCACAUGCAAGAAGUUGGCCAUCUGCAAGCUGAAGACAGAGGCCCCAAAGGAAACCAAAUCUACAAAUAUUUUGUUGGAUGUCUUGCCUCCACACUGUGAGGAAUAAAAUUCCUAUUGUUUGA